This 273-nucleotide unclassified non-coding RNA is filed under the name Glomus sp. Its description in RNAcentral is "partial contains 5.8S ribosomal RNA and internal transcribed spacer 2". The stretch from base 1 to 65 matches the Rfam family "5.8S ribosomal RNA", at positions 84 to 154 of the family's 154-position model. Lineage: Eukaryota; Fungi; Glomeromycota; Glomeromycetes; Glomerales; Glomeraceae. The record is from RNAcentral.
GUGAAUCAUCGAAUCUUUGAACGCACAUUGCACCCUCCUCGGAGAGUAUGCCUGUUUGAGGGUCAGCCUCUAAAAAAUCGCCACCGUUGCUGUUUCGCGGUGGCGUUCGUCGGAAAUUGGGUUCUCUUACAUCUCUCUGGGUCUUCUGCGUCUUAAAAUUUUAUUUUUGGUCACAUGAACGUUUCUAAGCUUUAUUUAUUUACAUGUUUAAGGUAUCGAUUCUUAUUAGACGUGACCAUCAUAUCGGAUCGGGUCCAAACUCUUUCAUAUACU